UAUGCAUUGUAUUUUUAGGUCCC
RNAcentral lists this microRNA (23 nucleotides) under Pan troglodytes (chimpanzee). Its description in RNAcentral is "ptr-miR-586". Its record names the gene ptr-miR-586. The record is from miRBase by way of RNAcentral. Lineage: Eukaryota; Metazoa; Chordata; Mammalia; Primates; Hominidae.